UAGUCCCCGCCUUAUCGCCUAUCUUGAGCGGCGAGGACCUUAUCUGUGGUCUCCCACUAAGGGACUAUUUUAGGAGGCGGGGAACGAUCUCAAGUGACUGACUCAUGUAGUGUGCACUUAGAUUACAUGUUUUUGAGCACUGCACCCAUGUCGCCUUAGAUAACAAAAUCCUAAAUAUAAUUUAUCGCUCUCGAUUCAUUUACAUAAGAUAUGAACGGAGCCCAAAAUUGUAAGUCUUUAAAUAUAUUCGUGUUCAUGUGUGAACAACUAGAGUCCCACAGCCGUACCACAUUCGAGAAGCGAAUUAUGCAGCAGUCAGACAACGAAUUUUCGGAGACGUCAGCAGCUGUAUUGUUUCUCAGAAACACAGAUAUCUAUUUGAUAUUGAUUUCUGGCGCGAUUUCGGAUUGUUGAGCAAGAUAACAGAGGAAACAGAAUCUGUUUCAGAACUCGAUGUAGGAAGAGAGAAUGAAGUCGUUGAUAGCCCAAAAAUGCAUUCGCUAUCGGCAGAGCAACAGAUAAGGCUGAAAGGCGUUAUCUGCAAGCUACCUUCUUUCGAAACCGAAGGAUUAGGAAGAACGCAGCUAAUAGAACACUCCAUCGAUGUAGGUGAAGCGAAGCCUGUGAAGCAGCGACAUUGGCCAAUUUCACCAGCUAAAGAAAAAAUGAUGUUCGCAGAAAUUGAGAACAUUCUAUCCUUAGGCGCUAUACAAGAAUCCCGAAGCCCUUGGGGCAGCAACUGCGUACUAGUCAAGCGGGGAGAGAAAGUUAGACUAUGCUUAGAUUCGCGAGAGGUGAAUAUGCUGACUAUUGAAGAUGCUUAUCCGCUUCCUCACGUUGAUGGAAUUUUUAGCCGGUUACCACCCGCACGUUAUAUCACAGGUCUUGACAUGAAGCACGCAUUCUGGCAAAUUUCGCUGGAGGAAAAGUCAAGACAGUGCACGGCGUUUACUAUACCGAAUCGACCUUCGUAUCACCCCUUUUGGUCUGUGUAACGCAGCACAAACUUUAUGCAGACUAAUGGAUUUAGUAAUACCAGCUACGUUACGUACUAGGGUGUUUGUAUACCUAGACGAUUUGCUAGUCCUGUCAGACGAUUUCGAAUCUCACAUGAGCUUACUGGAAGAGAUCGCUAUGUAUCUUCGUCAGGCUAAUCUCACGAUUAAUAUAGCGAAAUCAAAAUUUUGUAUGACGGAAAUUAAGUACUUAGGCUUUAUUAUUGGCCACGGUAAACUGAAGGUAGAUCCAGGCAAAGUCAGUGCCAUAGAUACAUUCCCAAUACCGAACACUGUCAAGCAGCUCCGAAGGUUUCUCGGGCUCGCUGCUUGGUACAGGCGUUUCGUAGACAAUUAUGCUUCUAUCACGUUUCCCUUGACCGAACUUCUGAAGAAGAACAAGACCUUCUGUUGGAAUCCGGAGGCAGAGAAUGCAUUUAGCCUAUUAAAAGCUAAACUGACAUUCUCGCCGGUAUUAAGAACUCCAGACUUCGAUUGAAAGUUUAUUUUGUUAUGUGAUGCCUGUCUUUACGGACUCGGCUGUGUUUUAGCACAAGAACAUGAAAACGAAGUCGAGCUGCCAAUUGCAUAUAUGUCAGAGAAACUAAGUAAAGCGCAGCGCAAUUACUCAGUUACUGAGCUGGAAUGCCUAGCGGUUAUUGAAUUGCAAUGGCUAAUGAAACAGAAAGAUCUUUCUGGACGCUUAGCCAGGUGGGCAAUUCAGUUGCAGGUCUUUUCAUUUAACAUAAAGCACAGGAAGGGAUCGCAGAACGUUGUAGCUGACGCACUUUCGAGGCGCGAAAAAGACGUCAUAAGCGAACUGACUGAUUCUGGCCCCAUUGUCAAUUUGUCAUCUAACGAAUUCCUAUCGGAAGAGUAUCUUGAUCUAGUCAACCGUGUCAAAGAAAAUCAGGCUAGGUUGCCUGAUCUGAAAGUAAUAGAUGAAUUCGUGUAUAAAAGAACAGAGCCCUCCAGAGGAGAUAGACUACAGGAAGCAGAGUCUUGGAAACUCUGGAUUCCGAAACUACUAACUGACAAAGUCUUAAAUCGCGCACACGACUCACCGGAUUCUGCUCAUGUCGGAAUGACUAAAAUGAUCGAAAAAAUAAAACGAUAUUUAUUUUGGCCCGGAAUGGUGACUCAGAUUCGAGACUACGUAGCUAACUGUUCGAUAUGCAAAGCUACAAAGAGUCCAAAUCAUAUUCUCAGAACGCCAAAGGGCAAUCCGACAACGUCAGAAAGGCCAUUCCAGAAACUUUACAUGGACCUUUUAGGACCGUAUCCCCGUUCGAAGAGCGGAAUAAUAGGGCUCCUUAUAAUAGUCGACCAUAACACCAAAUUCCAUUUCUUGCAUCCAAUGCGAAAAUUUACAUCUGAGAAGAUAUGCGACUUCUUAUUGAAGAAUGUCUUUUCUACAUUCAUGUGUGCACAGCUAUUUACUCGCCCCAAGCCAACGCGAGCGAGCGAAUAAACCGAUCCGUACUAGCGGCAACUAGAGCGUAUGUCGGGUCUGAUCAUACUACUUGGGACAAUCAUAUCGAGGAAAUUAGUGCAUCCUUGAGAGCUAGCGUACAUCGUAGCACCGGAUUUUCACCGUAUUUCUUAUGCUUUGGGCAGAAUAUGAUAAUGAAUGGACAGGAUUAUGAACUCUUAAGAAGAUUGCAGUUAUUGAACAAUGAUACAGCAUUAAUGACGCCUGAUAUAGAGGCAAAAUGAGAGAGACACAUGCAAACAAUGCGAAGGUAUAUAAUUUGCAUAGCCGUUUAUUAUGUUUGAAUGUAGGCGACACAGCAUAUGCUCGUAAUUUUGCGCAAAGCAACGCAGCUAAAAAGUUUAGUGCCAAACUCGCUCCUGUUUUCAUUAAAGCCAAAGUGUCAAAGAGAAUCAGUAACAUCUAUUUUGAGUUAGUAGACGAUUCUAGCAAGGUCUUGGGUGUUUAUCACCUGAAGGAUAUUCGAACUUAACGCUUCGCCGAAUUGCGACUGACCUUUUUCAAUUAAUACUUCGUCGAGAUAUGACUCAUGCUGAAUUAACUGUGGUGUUGGGGUCAGCAUAGAAAACCAAAACAAAAUAAAUUGUACCGCAGCAGAAGAUACAAAUUGACCUUAAAUUCGUUCAGGCCCAGUGUAAAAGUUAGAGUAGUAAUUCCAAUCGGUAAUGCAGAUCUAAUCGCACCGCUUCGAUACUCCCAGUUGUCUAACUAUCUCGCUCUCGCACACAUUCGCAAGGCACACAGGCAGAAUAGAAUAGAGGCAGAGCCUGGAAAAGUCCCGUUUUUAGCGGUUCGCGAAAAUUUCAGUCGACUGUACAAUUCGUAGAUCAGCUCGUUCAUUUGGUUUUGCAAUCUCGAAAUAUUUAAAUGGCGAAAGGUCAUCAUCUAGUGUAAAGAAGUAUAGCCACGUGGAAUUCUUUAACCACGAGGGUGUUACAUAAAUCCCAGUUUGUGAGCAAAACCACAUAUUGAAGUCAGUGAAAUCAGUCUAUUGAAGUCAGUGAAAUCAGUCUACUUGAGCAAGCAGACGUAGGUCAAGGCCAGAACACGCGCUUGUCGCGGGCGCUCUCGCGCUUACAUUUGUUAAAUCACCCUCCUGGUCCUGGCCAGCCUACAGUUCAGCGUGCAGCCACAGUUUAUGGGCGCGUUCAGCAUAUUUCACGUUUAGCAACUUGAGGUCGGAAGAGAACAGCACCUCGGCGUAGGCAACACCGCCUGAACCACCACAUAAUAAAACUCGUCGCUAGGGACUAGCCAAUCCUAGCCAAGAUGCAGGAUAUCCAUCAAAUCUGAACCGCCUCGCACCGCCGCUGAAAAGCCACAUUUACCGUUUUGCUAUAAGCAAGCCCGCCGUAGCGCGCACCGGCCACGUGCGGCUCAUGUUUAAGGAAAGUCGUCUCCCAGAAGUAGAUCGUCGUUGAAGAGAGAGACCCGCAGAAGCUCGUCAGCCGAUCCGAAGCACGUGUGUCGCUAGCAAUAUAAUUUAGAAGUUACGAAUACGGGUGCUGUAAGAGCAGGCAAUCAUUUAGGACCGCCGUCGUUUAAAGCCAUAAACAGAGAAGUCGUUUGCAUUCAUUAAAUUAGUAAACUUUAAGUCAGACCGUUUAUCUUAUACUAGUUAUGUUCUUUAUCAUAUAGUUGUAAAACAGAGAGCGAUCUGUAUACCGCCGGAGUGUAUCCCAUUUAAGAAUGAAUUAACUGCGCAUUUACUUUGACAACGUUUUAAACAGCACCUGCAUCUCGAUGGGCCCAGCGAAUCAGCAGCGAGGAUCUGUACGUAAGUGAUUAAGCCGCAAUAUCGGCAAACGUAUGCGCAUAUAUUUUUAUAUUCAAUUUUAAGUGGGAGUUGUAAAACCGGCGUAUAAGAAAGCAUGUAGUUUAAUCUAUCUUUAUUUUGAUUUGGAACACUUGUAUUUGAGAAGAACACCCAUGAAGGGAACCGAUGUGGAUAAUUUUGUAUUAUGAAUAGUUGUUAUUAUGGAUAGAUAAAUCCACAAAUCCGGGUCUGUUGCCAGUACCGUGAUGCGAAUGUCAAUAUCCUAUGAAAUGAAUUGAAAUGUAAUAAAAGAAUUGUUAAGGGGUAACCAAUGAA
Long non-coding RNA from Drosophila yakuba, 4579 nucleotides. RefSeq lists it as uncharacterized. The transcript is spliced from 2 exons. Lineage: Eukaryota; Metazoa; Arthropoda; Insecta; Diptera; Drosophilidae. The record is from RefSeq and is a predicted model, not a curated record.